UUCCACAGCUGUUUGUUCUGGCAGCCCCGAACACCAUAGCAGCCUGAAGCACCCCAGCCCAGAAGCUAAGCAGGGUCAGGCUUGACAGACUUGGAUGGGGGACCACUUGGGGAGACCAGGAGCUGGAGGCU
Molecule: ribosomal RNA, 131 nt
Organism: Cebus imitator (Panamanian white-faced capuchin)
Lineage: Eukaryota; Metazoa; Chordata; Mammalia; Primates; Cebidae
Source: Ensembl